RNAcentral lists this ribosomal RNA (460 nucleotides) under uncultured bacterium. Its description in RNAcentral is "partial 16S ribosomal RNA". It matches the Rfam family "Bacterial small subunit ribosomal RNA", at positions 338 to 795 of the family's 1533-position model. The record is from RNAcentral.
CCUACGGGAGGCAGUAGUGAGGAAUAUUGGUCAAUGGACGAGAGUCUGAACCAGCCAAGUAGCGUGAAGGAUGACUGCCCUAUGGGUUGUAAACUUCUUUUAUAUGGGAAUAAAAUGUUCCACGUGUGGGAUUUUGUAUGUACCAUAUGAAUAAGGAUCGGCUAACUCCGUGCCAGCAGCCGCGGUAAUACGGAGGAUCCGAGCGUUAUCCGGAUUUAUUGGGUUUAAAGGGAGCGUAGGUGGAUUGUUAAGUCAGUUGUGAAAGUUUGCGGCUCAACCGUAAAAUUGCAGUUGAAACUGGCAGUCUUGAGUACAGUAGAGGGGGGCGGAAUGCGUGGUGUAGCGGUGAAAUGCUUAGAUAUCACGAAGAACUCCGAUUGCGAAGGCAGUUCACUGGACUGCAACUGACACUGAGGCUCGAAAGUGUGGGUAUCAAACAGGAUUAGAUACCCCUGUAGUC